Molecule: long non-coding RNA, 1299 nt
Filed under: Oryza brachyantha (malo sina)
Lineage: Eukaryota; Viridiplantae; Streptophyta; Magnoliopsida; Poales; Poaceae
Description: long non-coding RNA (OBRA_LNC000749)
Source: RNAcentral
CGCGCGAUUAUUAAGCUGAGGCCUUUUCCAUUUUCUUUUUCCCUCUCUCUCUCUUUGUUUCUUAAGCGCUAGGGGGGAGAUGCAAGUUGGCCUGGCUGGCUGGCACGAGGGAGAUGGCGGCUGUGCAACUCCAGGUCGUCGUCGUCGUGACGCUCGCAAGUGGGCGGGGGCUGCCUGCGCCUGCGCCUGCUGGUGGUAGCCUUCCCGUUCGCACCCCAGGCCCCCCCUUCCACCGCCCGUUUGACGGACGGGUUCAAGCGAAAAAAAAAAAUCUGUCGACUUGAACAGCCGAACAGGUGAUCAAAUCGUCAUCGAAACCGUGAGCGCCCAACGAACGCUCGCUCGCUCGCUCGAUCGAUCGAACGUUGGGCGCUUGACUUUUUCUUUUAUCCCUUUCAAGUUUCUGUGCGUGAGUAAUAAGGAGGAAGGAGAUGGCGGUUUUGUGAGGCGUUUUUAAUGCAGAUAACAGUGUUUGUUUCAGCCAGGGCGGUUCAUGUCCUCAUUAUUUGCCGCGUUAUUACAAGGUGGGUGUGCGAAUUACGCCAAGAAAACUAGUUUGAUCGAUCGAUCGAUCGACCGGCCAAUGGAAGGGUAUCAUCGCCCAUCGCUUGCUUAAUUAGUGCACAGAAGGGCAUUUGCUGUAUAGAUAGCACAACUUAAAGACGAACGUACACUUUGUGUCAGAGAACAGAUCUAAUGAUCUAUCUAGGGAGUAGUAGUACUACCGUGUUUAUGUGUUCGUAUGUACUGUGAUACACCAACCAACUCGAGCAUACAAAUGGAAUUGCAGGCUGUCAAUUAUACAUGUCAUUUCUUGAAUCUUUUUGGACAAGGGAGGAUGGUUGUGUGUGUCUCUCGCAACAACGAGAAAAAAAAAUGGAGAGGAGAAAGAGGGGUCAAAUGUGAAGAAACCAAAGAGGAAAAAAAAAGAAAGAUCACGCGCCGAAGAAACACACAUCCGUCCGCCCGGAAAAACGAUCCAUCGGUUAGUUACCAAUGGCCCGGCGGUGGAGAGGGCUCACGCGCCGGCCCUGACGCCGGCGGCGAGCUUCUCGGCGGUCUUGGCGAGCGACUGCAGGUUGCACUUGACGAUGGUGUCGACGAACACGCGGGUGUCCUCGGGCGUGUUGCCUGAGAGGGCUCCCGCGCCGGCCCUGACGCCGGCGGCGAGCUUCUCGGCGGUCUUGGCGAGCGACUGCAGGUUGCACUUGACGAUGGUGUCGACGAACACGCGGGUGUCCUCGGGCGUGUUGCCUGCGGGGACGUCGACGACGUAGGACUCCACGACGAUGGUGGCGG